GCCGAGAUAGCUCAGUUGGUAGAGCACUUGUCUGAAGAACAAGGGGUCGUGGGUUCGAGACCCACUCUCGGCA
RNAcentral lists this transfer RNA (73 nucleotides) under Candidatus Campbelliibacteriota bacterium. Its description in RNAcentral is "Candidatus Campbellbacteria bacterium tRNA-Phe". It matches the Rfam family "tRNA". Rfam says of the family: Transfer RNA (tRNA) molecules are approximately 80 nucleotides in length. Their secondary structure includes four short double-helical elements and three loops (D, anti-codon, and T loops). Further hydrogen bonds mediate the characteristic L-shaped molecular structure. tRNAs have two regions of fundamental functional importance: the anti-codon, which is responsible for specific mRNA codon recognition, and the 3' end, to which the tRNAs corresponding amino acid is attached (by aminoacyl-tRNA synthetases). tRNAs cope with the degeneracy of the genetic code in two manners: having more than one tRNA (with a specific anti-codon) for a particular amino acid; and 'wobble' base-pairing, i.e. permitting non-standard base-pairing at the 3rd anti-codon position. The record is from RNAcentral. Lineage: Bacteria; Candidatus Campbelliibacteriota.